GAAGCUUUCCAUGUUGUCAUAGCUGAACGGGUUCAAUCAUCGCCAGUGAACUGUCAGUGAGUUGGAGAACAUUUCAACUAUCACUUGGAAUCUGAAGAAUUCUUUGCUUGACAGUGCCAGUAUAAGUGCGUUUCAAAAGAACAAACGCUCCCUCUGGUGAUAUGGGUGUAAAAAUGCUGCAGUGCUUUCCUUUCUACAGACGCUGCAAGGAGAGGUGCAAAAGACAGUGCCCUCCUGAGACCACAGUAGCAAGUGAAGAGGUGAAACCUCGGCUGUGUUCCACUACCUCCUGGGGCAGUGAAGGGGACAGCGGCAGCAGUCUGAGUUGCCCACAGGCCUAUUUUUCCCACAAGGCUCGGCUCUCACUGAGACACCAGAUGGAUAGCAACAUCAAUGCAGUGGAUGCCACAUACUAACUUUAUUCUGCAGGUGGUCCCUGGAGAAUCCUUGAAAGUAAACUUCAGAUUUACAGCCCCAGUCCAGUUUAAGUCCCUUAUUGGAGAGAUUUUGCGGGAACAUUUGGAACAGGCAGCAUGGAAGUUUGCCUCUCCUUGCACGCUUCCAUGGACACUCAUGAGCAUCAGCUGUAUGCAUUGCAAUAACAAUGUCAAGAUAAGUGUCUGAAUUUCGGUACAGCAAUGAGUGUAAAAUGGUACAGCUGAGUGUAAUUUGGUGAAAGGGAUGUUUUGAAACACUCUUAAGAGUGAUGUUUACAUGAUAACCAGUAAGUGCUUUUUUCUAGCCUGUAGCAUUUGCCCUCCACAGCCUCUGCUAUACAUGCAUCUACGUUAUCUCAACUGGAUGCUGGUUUUAUCUGAGGAGACACUGACAUCUUAAUGCAACUGAGUUUUUUGAGCCAGAUAUAAAUUUGUUCAGUACACUCUAAAAAAUGCUGGGUUAAAAAGGGAGAAACCCAGCG
This is a long non-coding RNA of Sinocyclocheilus grahami, 919 nucleotides long. RefSeq lists it as uncharacterized. The record is from RefSeq and is a predicted model, not a curated record. The transcript is spliced from 3 exons. NCBI's taxonomy places the organism in Eukaryota, Metazoa, Chordata, Actinopteri, Cypriniformes, Cyprinidae.